RNAcentral lists this long non-coding RNA (599 nucleotides) under Pan troglodytes (chimpanzee). RNAcentral's name for it is "long non-coding RNA NONPTRT016860". Lineage: Eukaryota; Metazoa; Chordata; Mammalia; Primates; Hominidae. The record is from RNAcentral.
UUCCUCAAAAAAAUGGACCUAAUGCAAAGCCAGGGCUGGGACCCACACCUGGACCUGCCUGCUUCCCAAGCCACAUGUGAUGGAAGGUGCCCCCCAAACUGGGGACACCCCACGAUUGAUGGAGAAUCUCUGUGAAUCCCUGCUGUGUACAAACCAACUGGUCUAUGGUUUUUGGUUAUAACAGCCCUGAUGGACUAAGAAAGGCUCAGUGCCACCCAGACUGCUUGUAUCGGUCCAUUUUCAUACUUGGAUGGCUGAGAUAAUAGAAAAACAUGUCUCUCUCGGGGCCUGACCACAGAAACUGUGCAAAACAUAUGCACAAUUUUCUUCCACGUUUAUUCUCUUUCCUCUAACAUAUUUGGAUGCACUCCAAAGUUUGAGUAUUCUUUCAGAAUCUAUGUGUCCUGAAGACUGGGGAUCCCUGUCUUUAAUUGUUGAGAGAAUAUGAAAACUCCUGUGUCUGAAAAACACCCUCAAAUCCUUGUCUGCUGGGUGGAGUUGAAGAGUGACUGUGAACCCAACCAUUGUUCUGUCCUCUCUUCAUUUCUCCCAGAUUAAUGAAUUUCCUUACAGUUUCGAUUACAUUUAAUGGAUUCCCU